GAUUUUACACUCUUCAGGGAUCAAUGCACCUCAGCAAGUAUUUGCAGUAACCUCAGGCUGCCUUUCCAAAAUGGAGUAGGGACCGUUUAUUAGUCAACUGGAACACAUCACUGGGAAAUCCUUGGGUUAGCCGAGAGAAGCAAAGAUGAAGACAUAGUCCGUUCUGGCCAGGACAGUGCAAUCAGCCAGCUAAGCUGCUUUGGAAUCGCUUUCUCCCCCGACCUUGUCUCUGUGUCUUUCAGUCCCAGUGUGACUGAUCUACUUGGUGAACUGGAUGUCAUCUCCCACACCGAACUGUCCUGACCCGAAGACUAAAACACUCUGCUCUCAACUCUAGCUUGGCAAUGGAUGCAGAGGAAGCUAUGAAACAGGAUGCGGAGCAGCCCCCAGACACUGAGUCACUGGUUGAAGGUGUGAGAACCCUGCUAAGAUCCCUUGAAGUCCGGCAGCAGCGCCUCCUGGCAAACAUUGCCAGCUGCGAUGAGCUGAUGGCAGAAAUCACCAGUCUUCAGGCUGCUCUCUGUGCUCCUGCCAGAACAGAGGGCAGCUCCUUGCCUGCACAAGAAGAGAACAAGAAUUCCUGAAAUGCUUAAUGAGCGGCUCACCUGAGGGCUAUUGAUGAAGGAAGCCACUACAACUCUCAGUGGCUGUUCCCUACAAAAUAUACUUGCCCUCUAUUCCCUGAACUCUUUCCAUGCGUUUGGUGUGGUGUGUAAGUGCAUGUUGCUGUGACCUGCACUCUCAAUCUCAUUGUCUAGAAAUAAAUGAUAAACUGUUUGCUCUAGUGCUGAGAAAGCUGCAGCCUGUCACAAGUUAAUGCCUGGGGAAAAGAAACAGUCUGACAACAAGCCCAGCUCCAAUCACUGCUGCUAACUCCACUCAGGCUCCCCAGUGUCACCUUGGGUCACUAACAGGAAAGUAGAUUCCCCUCCAGUCUCUGGAUCUUUUAGUGCACA
Molecule: non-coding RNA, 956 nt
Organism: Chrysemys picta bellii (western painted turtle)
Lineage: Eukaryota; Metazoa; Chordata; Testudines; Emydidae
Source: RefSeq, a predicted model, not a curated record